Non-coding RNA from Mus caroli (Ryukyu mouse), 1649 nucleotides. The record is from RefSeq and is a predicted model, not a curated record. Lineage: Eukaryota; Metazoa; Chordata; Mammalia; Rodentia; Muridae.
CGCCGCCCAGCCCCCUUCACUGAGUUCAUCAGUCCUAGCGGAAGCGCCGCCAGCAUGUCUGAUAAACUGCCCUACAAAGUCGCGGACAUCGGACUGGCCGCCUGGGGACGGAAGGCUCUGGAUAUAGCUGAGAAUGAGAUGCCAGGAUUGAUGCGCAUGCGGGAGAUGUACUCAGCCUCCAAGCCACUGAAGGGUGCUCGCAUUGCCGGCUGCCUGCACAUGACCGUGGAGACUGCUGUUCUCAUUGAGACUCUCGUGGCCCUGGGUGCUGAGGUGCGGUGGUCCAGCUGCAACAUCUUCUCUACUCAGGACCAUGCAGCGGCUGCCAUUGCCAAGGCUGGCAUUCCAGUGUUUGCCUGGAAGGGCGAGACAGAUGAGGAGUACCUGUGGUGCAUUGAGCAGACGCUGCACUUCAAGGACGGACCCCUCAACAUGAUUCUGGAUGAUGGUGGUGACCUUACUAACCUCAUCCACACCAAAUACCCACAGCUUCUGUCAGGCAUCCGAGGUAUCUCUGAGGAGACCACGACUGGGGUCCACCACCUCUACAAGAUGAUGUCCAAUGGGAUACUGAAGGUGCCUGCCAUCAAUGUCAACGAUUCUGUCACCAAGAGCAAGUUUGACAACCUCUAUGGCUGCCGGGAGUCCCUCAUAGAUGGCAUCAAACGGGCCACAGAUGUGAUGAUUGUGGGCAAGGUGGCGGUGGUGGCAGGCUAUAGUGAUGUGGGCAAGGGCUGUGCCCAGGCCCUGAGGGGUUUCGGGGCCCGAGUCAUCAUCACCGAGAUCGACCCCAUCAAUGCACUGCAAGCUGCCAUGGAGGGCUAUGAGGUAACCACCAUGGACGAAGCCUGUAAGGAGGGCAACAUCUUUGUCACCACAGGCUGUGUGGAUAUCAUCCUUGGCCGGCACUUUGAGCAGAUGAAGGAUGACGCCAUUGUCUGUAACAUUGGACACUUCGAUGUAGAGAUCGACGUGAAGUGGCUCAAUGAGAACGCCGUGGAGAAGGUGAACAUCAAGCCCCUGGUGGACCGCUACUGGCUAAAGAAUGGGCGCCGCAUCAUCUUGCUGGCUGAAGGCCGUCUGGUCAACCUGGGUUGUGCUAUGGGACACCCCAGCUUUGUGAUGAGCAACUCCUUCACAAACCAGGUGAUGGCACAGAUUGAGCUGUGGACCCACCCAGAUAAAUACCCCGUUGGGGUUCACUUCCUGCCUAAGAAGCUGGAUGAGGCUGUGGCUGAAGCCCACCUGGGCAAACUGAAUGUGAAGCUGACCAAGCUGACUGAGAAGCAGGCCCAGUACCUGGGCAUGCCCAUCAACGGCCCCUUCAAGCCUGAUCACUACCGCUACUGAGUGCUAGGGCUGUCCUUCACCUUCCAGCUGCCAUCCUUGUUCCGGGCCCUAUCUCUCGUUCCCAAGAGCAAAUGUCACCAACUUUGCAGUAGCCUGGACAGUGUUUCUCCCCCACACCUCUCCCCUUACCCCCCCUGGGGCUGGUCACUCUGUCUUUGACCUCUGCUGUAUCCCUCAUACUGUUCCAGGUGUGGCAGGGGAACGGAGAGGUUCCUGGGAGGCAUCUGCAGGGGACAUGACCUCAGAAGUCUUGGAAGUCCUGAGGCUGGAUGUUGCUAGUGAUGGUCACAAGCUAUGUA